This 497-nucleotide ribosomal RNA is filed under the name uncultured bacterium. RNAcentral describes it as "partial 16S ribosomal RNA". It matches the Rfam family "Bacterial small subunit ribosomal RNA", at positions 28 to 507 of the family's 1533-position model. The record is from RNAcentral.
GAUGAACGCUGGCGGCGUGCCUAAUACAUGCAAGUCGAGCGAACGGACGAGAAGCUUGCUUCUCUGAUGUUAGCGGCGGACGGGUGAGUAACACGUGGAUAACCUACCUAUAAGACUGGGAUAACUUCGGGAAACCGGAGCUAAUACCGGAUGAUAUUUUGAACCGCAUGGUUCAAAAGUGAAAGACGGGCUUGCUGUCACUUAUAGAUGGAUCCGCGCUGCAUUAGCUAGUUGGUAAGGUAACGGCUUACCAAGGCAACGAUGCAUAGCCGACCUGAGAGGGUGAUCGGCCACACUGGAACUGAGACACGGUCCAGACUCCUACGGGAGGCAGCAGUAGGGAAUCUUCCGCAAUGGGGGAAAGCCUGACGGAGCAACGCCGCGUGAGUGAUGAAGGUCUUCGGAUCGUAAAACUCUGUUAUUAGGGAAGAACAUAUGUGUAAGUAACUGUGCACAUCUUGACGGUACCUAAUCAGAAAGCCACGGCUAACUACGUG